GGGGUCCUCCACCACCACCACUCACAGAGGCUGAGCAGUUGGCCCUCAGCCAAAACAGUGGGCGCCCUGUGGCUGAAGGCAUCUCUGCGGGGACAUCCUCUGAGUCAAUAACCCCGCAAGACACAAGUGCCUACAUAAGAGUUGAUGGUGAUGGUGUACUGCAUCUGGUGCAGCCUCCUGUUGAGCCAGACCAACAUGCAGUUGAAAAUAAUGAGGAAACAUUGACAGCUGUUACAGAGGAGGAAGCAACAGAGACACUUUAUGAGGUUUACAUCUUACAAUGGAAAAUAUAACAAUUGAAUAAAAUGUGGUACUAUAAUAAAACCAUGGACUUUCUAUGUCUCUAACAGAGUGAUGAUGGAAAUGCAGAGGAAGAGGGUCCAGCCACUUCUCCAACAAAC
Oreochromis aureus is the source of this 401-nucleotide long non-coding RNA. RefSeq lists it as uncharacterized. The transcript has 3 exons. NCBI's taxonomy places the organism in Eukaryota, Metazoa, Chordata, Actinopteri, Cichliformes, Cichlidae. The record is from RefSeq and is a predicted model, not a curated record.